AUUGAACGCUGGCGGCAUGCUUUACACAUGCAAGUCGAACGGUAACAGGCCGCAAGGUGCUGACGAGUGGCGAACGGGUGAGUAAUGCAUCGGAACGUGCCCAGUCGUGGGGGAUAACUAUCCGAAAGGAUAGCUAAUACCGCAUACGAUCUGCGGAUGAAAGCGGGGGACCUUCGGGCCUCGCGCGAUUGGAGCGGCCGAUGUCAGAUUAGGUAGUUGGUGGGGUAAAGGCUCACCAAGCCAACGAUAUGUAGCUGGUCUGAGAGGACGACCAGCCACACUGGGACUGAGACACGGCCCAGACUCCUACGGGAGGCAGCAGUGGGGAAUUUUGGACAAUGGGCGCAAGCCUGAUCCAGCAAUGCCGCGUGCAGGAAGAAGGCCUUCGGGUUGUAAACUGCUUUUGUACGGAACAAAACGGCUCUGGUUAAUACCUGGGGCUAAUGACGGUACCGUAAGAAUAAGCACCGGCUAACUACGUGCCAGCCGCCGCAGUAA
RNAcentral lists this ribosomal RNA (498 nucleotides) under uncultured bacterium. RNAcentral describes it as "partial 16S ribosomal RNA". It matches the Rfam family "Bacterial small subunit ribosomal RNA", at positions 30 to 523 of the family's 1533-position model. The record is from RNAcentral.